RNAcentral lists this transfer RNA (69 nucleotides) under Bavayia robusta. Its description in RNAcentral is "tRNA-Ala". Lineage: Eukaryota; Metazoa; Chordata; Lepidosauria; Squamata; Diplodactylidae. The record is from RNAcentral.
AAGGUCUUAGCUUAGUUAAAGUGUAUNAGUUGCAUUCAGAAGAUGUAUAUUAGAAUUAUGCAGGCUUUC